UCUGCCUCCUAGAGGGUUGAAAUCACAAAGAAUUGUACUUAAAUAAGCUUGUUCAGAAAGCAUCAAAGAUGAAGAAUCCAUCACCUUUUGAAAAGCUUCACGAAUCACUUUUGGGAAUUCAGGCUUUUUUUGAUGGAAAUGCCUGGAUUUUCUUGGAAACAGGGAUUUUAUUGUGGAUUCCUGGUGCCCCUUGGAGAGGCUUAUUUUUCUGGACAAUAGUUUUCCUUAGUGUCACUACGCUUUUCAUCUCCCAAUGAUCACAAGCUCCCAAGGUCGAGAAAAGUGCAUCCUUUUGUUCUAAUGAGGCUGAAAUUCCAUUUUAAAACGUCUGCAAAAGGGACUCUUGGUUGAGAACGGAAGGCAUCGUUCCACGGCCCGCCGUGUCCAGCGGGGUGAGCCUUCCAGACAUGUGAAGAGAAAAGAAAAUCCAGCCCAACGUCAAAGAAUCGAACAGCAGUGUUCAGAGGUUGCUUAUCGCCACUCAAGGAUCUUUCAUCAUCUGUGCUUGAAAGUGUGUCAUACAACAUAGGCCUGCUUGCCUUUGUUCGAAGAAUGGGACUCCGUAAACGGGCAUAAAGAAGUAACUCACCACUGCCUGCGGCUCUAAGAGGAAUGCUCAUGGUGUGAAAUGUUUCUCUUGCUCCGGACAGACCCUCUCGUCCUGAUUAGAGCCUGGGCAUUAAAGGGUCCUGGGAGUGCUUCUCGUAGGGGGCUGUGUGAUUUCCACUGGGAACGCAAUCUCUCGGGCAAAGGGGAAUAACCAUUUUCAGUUAAAAGCUGCACCACUAGCCAAUAGCUACGUGCGGCUGGUUUAUGCUGACAACUUCAUUAAUGAAAUGUAAACACCCCCCGGAAAAUGCAGUUCCUCGGGCUCACUAGCCACAUUUCACUGACUCCAGAGCUCUUAAUACCUGGCAGCUGAAAACACUGAUGGUGUAGCUUGCCGUCCACAGAAGCCCUUCUCCCCCGUCACAACGUGGAGAAAUUCACUGGGCCUAAAUGUGGUGUGAUUAUUACAAUUCUGAACAUUUCCCUCAAGGGUUGUCACUCGAAGCUAUAAUUAAGGAGUUCCUGUUGUGGUGCCGUGGAAAUGAAUCCGACCAGUAUCCAUGACAAUGUGGGUUCGAUCCCUGGCCUUGCUCAGUGGGUUAAGGAUCUGGUGUUGCCAUGAUCUGUGGUGUAGGUCGAAGACCAGGCACAGAUCCUGCAUUCCUGUGGCUGUGAUGUAGGCUGGCAGCUGCAGUUCCAAUUCGACCCCCAGCCUGAGAACCUCCAUAUGCCAUGGGUGCAGCCCUAAAAAGCAAACGAACAAACCAAAAAAAAAAAAAAACAAAACCCUAUAAUUAAACAACAAACGAAAGCCCUCAGUGCCACCAAGGUUUGAUUAAGCAAGGAAGAAAUGUAGCUGCUGCUAUUAUUUUUUUUCUAACUGGGCUAUGUAGAACACUAUAGAAACUGCCUUAGGUCUGCACAUAUUAAAUGCAUGCAAAACUAUCGUUGACGAUUGUUAAAAAGAAGAUACAAUGGUAACGUGUUGUAAGGGGACUGCUAUUCACAUGUGGUAUUGUUUGUUUUUUUCUUUUAAUCAGCUAUGUGGCCUUUUACUUUUUACAGUAACAAUUAUUUCCUUUUAAUUUUUCAAAACAUUGUGUCUCAUAAAGUAACUCUGCUAAUUGGUUGGUUUUCUAUGCUUCCCAGGUUUGUGGUCGGUUCAGUUUUUCACAGGUCCUUUAUCUAUUCUACAGC
Molecule: long non-coding RNA, 1746 nt
Filed under: Sus scrofa (pig)
Lineage: Eukaryota; Metazoa; Chordata; Mammalia; Artiodactyla; Suidae
Description: lncRNA (ENSSSCG00060057126.1)
Source: RNAcentral